Molecule: ribosomal RNA, 226 nt
Filed under: uncultured fungus
Lineage: Eukaryota; Fungi
Description: partial 18S ribosomal RNA
Rfam family: Eukaryotic small subunit ribosomal RNA
Source: RNAcentral
ACUAGGGAUCGGGCGAUGUUAUUUNGGGACUCGCUCGGCACCUUACGAGAAAUCAAAGUCCGGGUUCUGGGGGGAGUAUGGUCGCAAGGCUGAAACUUAAAGAAAUUGACGGAAGGGCACCACCAGGAGUGGAGCCCGCGGCUUGAUUUGACUCAACACGGGGAAACUCACCAGGUCCAGACACAAUAAGGAUUGACAGAUUGAGAGCUCUUUCUUGAUUAGUAGG